UUGUUUGUUUUUUUGAGCGUUCGGUGGAUGCCUUGGCAUCAGGGGCCGAUGAAGGACGUGGUGGCCUGCGAUAUUCCUCGGGGAGCCGGCUGGCGGGCUGUGAUCCGAGGGUUUCCGAAUGGGGGGACCCGGCACGAGUUAUGUCGUGUCACCUGCAUCUGAAUUGUAUAGGGUGUGGGGGGUGACGCGGGGAAGUGAAACAUCUCAGUACCCGUAGGAGAAGAUAUUCCGUGAGUAGUGGCGAGCGAAAGCGGAUGAUGGUUAAACCGUGUGCGUGUGAUACUCGGCAGGGGUUGCGUGUGCGGGGUUGUGGGGCUGUCCUGUUCC
This 327-nucleotide ribosomal RNA is filed under the name Actinomyces oris. RNAcentral describes it as "partial 23S ribosomal RNA". It matches the Rfam family "Bacterial large subunit ribosomal RNA", at positions 1 to 317 of the family's 2925-position model. The record is from RNAcentral. Lineage: Bacteria; Bacillati; Actinomycetota; Actinomycetes; Actinomycetales; Actinomycetaceae.